CUGGCGGGCACACAGUGCAAUGUGAAAGCAGGUGUGCGUGCACACCCACACCCGCAUGCCCACACAUCCAUACAGUCCACACCAUCACACACACACACCCACACACAUCCAUACAGUCCAUACCAUCACACACACCCGCACACAUCCAUACAGUCCACACCAUCACACACACACCCGCACACAUCCAUACAGUCCACACCAUAACACACACACAUCCAUAUAGUCCACACCAUCAUACACACACACAUCUCUACAGUCCACACCAUCACAUGCACACACACAUCUAUAUGGUCUACACCGUCACACACACACACACAUCUAUACAGUCCACACCGUCACAUAUCUGUACAGUCCACACCGUCACACACACACGCCCACACCCGCAUGCCACACAUCCAUACAGUCCACAUUCACGUAUGCCCAUAUGCAUCCAUUCACACGUGUGUACACAUGCUCACACACACACAUUCAUAGACUCCACACAUGCACACGUGCACACACACGCACAUGCUCGCACACAUGCACAGAUACACUCACGUCCACACACGCUCAAACAUGCGUGCACACCCGGAGGUGCCCAGAGGGGCAGGGUGGGGAGGACC
This 602-nucleotide long non-coding RNA is filed under the name Homo sapiens (human). RNAcentral's name for it is "non-protein coding lnc-NMRK2-5:6". The record is from RNAcentral. Lineage: Eukaryota; Metazoa; Chordata; Mammalia; Primates; Hominidae.